GCUGAUACUUUAUGGGAUUACAUACCAAAAUAAACAUGGAUCUGAGGUAGCAACCUCAGAUCUGGACCUCAAGCUCAAGAUUGGUCUUAAACAUGGCUUAAAAGCCCCAAAACUCAUAACCAAGGAAAAUAUGGAGGAGAGAAACGAAUUGAUACCUUCCAAUGCUCUGAAAUGCUUCCCAAACUUCAGAUCCAAAGCCACUCCCUGAUGCUUCAAGGAUUCCCACUCCUUCUUCUUCCUUAAACCCACUCAAAAAUGGCUAGAAGCUUGAAUGAACACAAUGGGGGCUUAAGGUGCGGCGUUCUGGGUGUAAGAGGCUGUAAAGGAGCCCUAGGAAGAAGAUUAAGAUGCUUAAAUAGGCUCCAAGCCCCGGAUUUAGGGUUUUCCUCGCACAGACCAGACUCGCCGAGUCCACUUGGCCGACUCGUCGAGUUGGUCACUUUCUUAUCGACCCGGAUCCCGCUCCGACUCGCCGAGUCCUUCCUUUGACUCGUCGAGUCCCUCUUAAAUUUAGGGUUUCCUUUACUUUCUUGGCUUUCAAAAUCCUGGGUGUUACAAUGGGUGGAUAUAAACCUUAAAGGUGACAACUUUAUGCAUCUAAAACAUCUGAAACACCGUGAGUGGCAACUCAAAGCUCCUGGAGUGGUAUCAAACCACUAGAUCCCACUCUUUGGGCCAAAAGGGACCAAAACUCACAAAUUAUAGAUCUAAGAUACUAAUGAGCAAGAUCAAAGCAUUUUACCUCAAACAAGCUGGAAAUGAAACAAAUAAACAAGAUCCACAAGCUCUUCCUUGAUCCACCACCUUGCACUAAGAUUCUACUACUUGAAUAUGAACCAAAACACACAAAANUGACUCGAGUCUUAACUCGAAGGGUUUGGGACCACUCGACCUGACUCGCCGAGUCUAAGAACAGACUCGCCGAGCACACGACAAACUUCAUCCAACUCGACGAGUUGUUCAUCCAACUCGCCGAGUUCAUGCCCAUCUUCAUCCGACUCGACGAGCUGUUCAUCCCACUCGUCGAGUUCCUCCUCAUCUUCAAGCUACUCGCCGAGUCCACUCGAAGGACUCGUCGAGUCCACUAAGAUCCACUUACAUGCAGAGGACUUCCGAGUCAUGCAUGAGCUCCAAACUAUAGAUCUACCCUCCCCAAGCCUAUUUCCCACGUAAAGUUGCAAACUUUACGUGUAGAGAGUGAGAUCUAGGCAAAAUACACCCAUAGCUAGGGUUUAGGACCAAGAGACUCCAAUUUCCACCCAAUGGCUGAUACUUUAUGGGAUUACAUACCAAAAUAAACAUGGAUCUGAGGUAGCAACCUCAGAUCUGGACCUCAAGCUCAAGAUUGGUCUUAAACAUGGCUUAAAAGCCCCAAAACUCAUAACCAAGGAAAAAUAUGGAGGAGAGAAACGAAUUGAUACCUUCCAAUGCUCUGAAAUGCUUCCCAAACUUCAGAUCCAAAGCCACUCCCUGAUGCUUCAAGGAUUCCCACUCCUUCUUCUUCCUUAAACCCACUCAAAAAUGGCUAGAAGCUUGAAUGAACACAAUGGGGGCUUAAGGUGCGGCGUUCUGGGUGUAAGAGGCUGUAAAGGAGCCCUAGGAAGAAGAUUAAGAUGCUUAAAUAGGCUCCAAGCCCCGGAUUUAGGGUUUUCCUCGCACAGACCAGACUCGCCGAGUCCACUUGGCCGACUCGUCGAGUUGGUCACUUUCUUAUCGACCCGGAUCCCGCUCCGACUCGCCGAGUCCUUCCUUUGACUCGUCGAGUCCCUCUUAAAUUUAGGGUUUCCUUUACUUUCUUG
Molecule: long non-coding RNA, 1799 nt
Filed under: Lactuca sativa (garden lettuce)
Lineage: Eukaryota; Viridiplantae; Streptophyta; Magnoliopsida; Asterales; Asteraceae
Description: long non-coding RNA (LSAT_LNC007196)
Source: RNAcentral